RNAcentral lists this ribosomal RNA (465 nucleotides) under uncultured bacterium. RNAcentral describes it as "partial 16S ribosomal RNA". It matches the Rfam family "Bacterial small subunit ribosomal RNA", at positions 29 to 507 of the family's 1533-position model. The record is from RNAcentral.
AAUGAACGUUGGCGGCGUGGAUUAGGCAUGCAAGUCGAGCGAGAACCCCGCAAGGGGGGACAGCGGCGAAAGGGACAGUAAUGUGUAGAUUAUCUGCCCUCAGGUCCGGGAUAGCUGCGGGAAACUGCAGGUAAUACCGGAUAACAUCUCCGGAUCAAAGGUGUGAUUCCGCCUGAGGAUGAGUCUGCAUCCUAUUAGCUAGUUGGUGGGGUAAUGGCCUACCAAGUCAUUGAUGGGUAGCAGGUGUGAGAGCACGACCUGCGUCAUUGGGACUGAGACACUGCCCAGACACCGACGGGUGGCUGCAGUCGAGAAUCUUCGGCAAUGGGCGCAAGCCUGACCGAGCGACGCCGCGGGUGGGAUGAAGGCCUUCGGGUUGUAAACCACUGUCAGAGGGGAUGAAAUGCAGGUGGGUUCUCCCAUCUGUUUGACAUAGCCUCAGAGGAAGGACGGGCUAAGUUCGUG